UACGUAGGGUGCAGGCGUUAAUCGGAAUUACUGGGCGUAAAGCGUGCGCAGGCGGCUUGCUAAGACAGGUGUGAAAUCCCCGGGCUUAACCUGGGAACUGCGCUUGUUACUGGCAAGCUGGAGUGUGGCAGAGGGGGGUGGAAUUCCACGUGUAGCAGUGAAAUGCGUAGAGAUGUGGAGGAACACCGAUGGCGAAGGCAGCCCCCUGGGCUAACACUGACGCUGAGACGCGAAAGCGUGGGGAGCAAACAGG
Molecule: ribosomal RNA, 253 nt
Filed under: uncultured bacterium
Lineage: Bacteria
Description: partial 16S ribosomal RNA
Rfam family: Bacterial small subunit ribosomal RNA
Source: RNAcentral